CCCUUAGAUGUUCGGGGCCGCACGCGCGCUACACUGGCGGAAUCAGCGGGUGUCUUGUGCCUUGGCCGAAAGGUCUGGGUAAUCCGCUGAACCUCCUCCGUGAUGGGGAUAGGGAAUUGCAAUUAUUUCCCUUGAACGAGGAAUUCCCAGUAAGCGCGAGUCAUCAGCUCGCGUUGAUUACGUCCCUGCCCUUUGUACGCACCGCCCGUCGCUACUACCGAUUGAAUGGUUUAGUGAGAUCCUCGGAUGGUCGGCGUCGGGAUGUCUUUGGCGUCUCGUUCUGCCAGACGAGAAGACGAUCAAACUUGAUCAUUUAGAGGAAGUAAAAGUCGUAACA
RNAcentral lists this ribosomal RNA (337 nucleotides) under uncultured eukaryote. RNAcentral describes it as "partial 18S ribosomal RNA". It matches the Rfam family "Eukaryotic small subunit ribosomal RNA", at positions 1470 to 1796 of the family's 1831-position model. The record is from RNAcentral.